CAUGCUAUAACAUGGAUGAACGCUGAAGU
Molecule: non-coding RNA, 29 nt
Filed under: Homo sapiens (human)
Lineage: Eukaryota; Metazoa; Chordata; Mammalia; Primates; Hominidae
Source: RNAcentral